Molecule: transfer RNA, 74 nt
Filed under: compost metagenome
Description: tRNA-Ala
Rfam family: tRNA
About the family: Transfer RNA (tRNA) molecules are approximately 80 nucleotides in length.
Source: RNAcentral
GGGGGAUUCGUCCAACGGUAAGACGGCUGCCUUGCAAGCAGCAAACAGGAGUUCGACCCUCCUAUCCUCCACCA